AUUGAACGCUGGCGGCAGGCCUAACACAUGCAAGUCGGACGGUAGCACAGAGGAGCUUGCUCCUCGGGUGACGAGUGGCGGACGGGUGAGUAAUGUCUGGGGAUCUGCCCGAUAGAGGGGGAUAACCACUGGAAACGGUGGCUAAUACCGCAUAACGUCGCAAGACCAAAGAGGGGGACCUUCGGGCCUCUCACUAUCGGAUGAACCCAGAUGGGAUUAGCUAGUAGGCGGGUUAAUGGCCCACCUAGGCGACGAUCCCUAGCUGGUCUGAGAGGAUGACCAGCCACACUGGAACUGAGACACGGUCCAGACUCCUACGGGAGGCAGCAGUGGGGAAUAUUGCACAAUGGGCGCAAGCCUGAUGCAGCCAUGCCGCGUGUAUGAAGAAGGCCUUCGGGUUGUAAAGUACUUUCAGCGGGGAGGAAGGCGAUGUGGUUAAUAACCUUGUCGAUUGACGUUACCCGCAGAAGAAGCACCGGCUAACUCCGUGCCAGCCGCCGCGGUAA
This 506-nucleotide ribosomal RNA is filed under the name uncultured bacterium. Its description in RNAcentral is "partial 16S ribosomal RNA". It matches the Rfam family "Bacterial small subunit ribosomal RNA", at positions 30 to 523 of the family's 1533-position model. The record is from RNAcentral.